This is a long non-coding RNA of Brassica napus (rape), 1669 nucleotides long. RefSeq lists it as uncharacterized. The transcript has 4 exons. Lineage: Eukaryota; Viridiplantae; Streptophyta; Magnoliopsida; Brassicales; Brassicaceae. The record is from RefSeq and is a predicted model, not a curated record.
UGCCACAUAGGAUUACAGGUCACAAAGUCGUUUAUUCAGAAGCUGCCAUCUGUCCAGAGAAGCAAACGCACCGUUUCAUUUAUUUCUCUUAUGAUGGGCUUUGACCCAUUUGUAGACAGAAAAUCUUACCUGAAAAAAACGACGCUUCCGUCUACACUUUUUGCCGUCAAAGUUCUUCAUCUGUUCAUCUACCUGCGAGAAAAAGUUGAGGCGUUACUUUUUGCCGAAACGGAAUAAAGCUGAACCCAAUCGUCGUCAUUAACACACACAUUAACCAAAGCUCUCCAUUCCUUCCACGAUUUAUCAAUGAAUACAUCUUCCAAUUAUAAAAAAUGUUCUAUAAAAAUUCUUCAGUUCAAGCUUCUAAUUAAUGGUCUCUGAUGUUCGACUUCAAACAAGGAUCCUACAAGAAUAUUUAGACACAAAAUCUGAAACCGAGGAAGAUGAAGAACUGAGACUUACCCAGAAUCAAGAUCGUUCUUAAAACAAAAUCGUAAGCGAGAUGGAGGGCGACGGAGCAAGCGGAGACGGAGUAAGUGGAGGAGAGAAAGGAAGCAAGUGGCGAAGAGCGACAGAGCAAGGGCGGAGAGCGAUGGAACAAGCGGCGUUGAGCUGAUGGAGCAAGUGACGGAGAGAGCGAGAUGGACAGCCAUGGAACAAGCGACGGAGAGUGAGACAAGAGAUAGAACAGGCAAUCGUUGCAGUUCAAUGGUACAAGGGUGGUUGAUAGGCUCUCAGACAGGGUUCAUGCUUUCAAAGUUUCUGUACAUUAAGGGGUGAAAGUUCAUGUGGAGGAGUCUGACAUGACUAGAUAACUUCUCAUGAGGAUGUUGCUCAGUUUCGAAGGCCUCCAAACAACAGAGAAAGCUAGAGUAUAACACGAUGAUGCAGAGUUGUGGCUGAGUUACUUUCCGCCAAUCUCCAAAAACCUAUCUAUAAGAAGUGUGCAUUCUGAGGAGAAAAGACAAAUACAUUCCAAAAAACACUCAGAUCCACAAUUGUGGGAAGUAUUUAAUUAAGUUUGUUUGUGAUUUCAUACCCAUAUUUGGAUAAUCUAAUUUUUUUUUCAGAUCUGAGUGAGAGAAAAUUGAACAAAAAGAAAAUGAAGAAGAUGAAAAGAAGUGACAGAUUCAGCAGAGACGACAUAGAGGAGUUCAUUGAAGCUUGGAUACAUGGACGAAUACCGGAAUGAUGCCGAAAACCUGUAUUUUUGGUUUUCUAUGUAAAAAACAUAACUCACCCAUGUAUUGUGUGUUUGAUUUAUGCUAUGUUUACACUACUCAGCCCUGUCGUUUAUAUAUCUCAGCUGUGUCGUUUACAUAACUCAGCCGUACCUCAAACAUACCCUACAACUCAGCCGUACCUCAAACAUACCCUAAAAUCAAAAAAAAAAUGUUUAGAUAACUCAGCCGUAUCGUUUAGAUAACUCAGCCGUAUCGUUUAUAUAAAUCAACAAUACCUCAAACAUACCCUAAAAUCGGAAAAAUGAAUUCAAGUACUUUAAGAAGUUAUAUUGAAAAUCAUCUUAUCAAUAUCAAGUGAAUAUAAAUCAACUGAAUGUGUAUAGUUUCUUAUACUUCAAGUUGAGACUUUAACUUGAUCUUGAGAUAUAUGUUCUCUUACAAUCACUUAUACAAUUCUGACUUACAAGACUCUAACUUUAAUCUUU